Cottoperca gobio is the source of this 907-nucleotide long non-coding RNA. RefSeq lists it as uncharacterized. NCBI's taxonomy places the organism in Eukaryota, Metazoa, Chordata, Actinopteri, Perciformes, Bovichtidae. The transcript is spliced from 4 exons. The record is from RefSeq and is a predicted model, not a curated record.
CCAGCCGAACUGUAUCUGCAUUUUAACGGUGGGAGAAAAGACGCUAUAUGGCGAUGUGCUCCUCCCUCCACCCUGCCAACCUCAUCUGUCAGCCAUUAGUUAAUCAGGGCUGGUAACACAGAGCACAGAGAGCUGGCACAGCUCGUGGGACCAGAGGACAGCUUCACCUCUGAGAGCAAGAAGAGGGCAAGGACUCAGGGACCUCUGCUUCACCGAUCUACAGCUGGGCUGCUUCACUCAGCAGCACCCACUCAGGACUGGCAGGCGUCAACCUCAAGAUGACCCCACCCACUGCAUUACUGUGAACAGCACCUCAGACUCAACGAGGAGGAUCCUUGAGUAGACCCACCGGUUCUCAUCAAAGGUUGACACUUGAACAAGAGAAGAAGCCACGGCCGAAUUGAAACAUUAACUCCCGACUCAGAUUUAGAUUAAAGCCACGACAAUAAGCACGCCGGUGAGGACGAGGGAGGGGACCUUCCAGCCACCGCUUCAAUUGCUAACACUUCACUUGGUCUGGAAACACAAGUCCAAUGAUGUCACGACCAACUGACCCCAGGGCGACAGGUUUGGAGAGUGUUCUUGUCCACUUCCCUCAGGCCAAAGUCAAGUAUGUCAAUGUUGUGCAUGUGGAUUUCAUUUGAAGCAGCAUGAUUAGUUCACAGACGCUCAACUGCGAUCCCCCUCCAUGGGAAACCCACCCUCGACAGGAAACGCUAUGUUUUUGUUAGCAACAAACAGACAUAAAUUACCAAAAUUGUGCGUUGGUUGCCAAUUUAUCACACACAGCCGUAUUGUUGCUGCUUGACGUCGACACAGCUUUUAAGGUCAUUAGCAUUAGUUAAUGAUAUUUACAUUCCUGAUAGUUUGUGUUGAACUGUGUCUGCAAUCAUACCUUUGUGCAAUA